Molecule: ribosomal RNA, 492 nt
Filed under: uncultured bacterium
Lineage: Bacteria
Description: partial 16S ribosomal RNA
Rfam family: Bacterial small subunit ribosomal RNA
Source: RNAcentral
AGUGAACGCUGGCGGUAGGCCUAACACAUGCAAGUCGAACGGCAGCACAGUAAGAGCUUGCUCUUACGGGUGGCGAGUGGCGGACGGGUGAGGAAUACAUCGGAAUCUACUUUUUCGUGGGGGAUAACGUAGGGAAACUUACGCUAAUACCGCAUACGACCUACGGGUGAAAGCAGGGGAUCUUCGGACCUUGCGCGAUUGAAUGAGCCGAUGUCGGAUUAGCUAGUUGGCGGGGUAAAGGCCCACCAAGGCGACGAUCCGUAGCUGGUCUGAGAGGAUGAUCAGCCACACUGGAACUGAGACACGGUCCAGACUCAUACGGGAGGCAGCAGUGGGGAAUAUUGGACAAUGGGCGCAAGCCUGAUACAGCCAUACCGCGUGGGUGAAGAAGGCCUUCGGGUUGUAAAGCCCUUUUGUUGGGAAAGAAAAGCAGCAGGUUAAUACCCCGCUGUUCUGACGGUACCCAAAGAAUAAGCACCGGCUAACUUCGUG